GUGCUCACUUCAGCAGCACAUAUACUAAAAAUUGAAUGAUGCAAAGAUUAGCAUGGUCCCUGCACAAGAAUGACAUGUAAAUUCACGAAUUGUUCCAUAAUUUU
Molecule: small nuclear RNA, 104 nt
Organism: Onychomys torridus (southern grasshopper mouse)
Lineage: Eukaryota; Metazoa; Chordata; Mammalia; Rodentia; Cricetidae
Source: RefSeq, a predicted model, not a curated record